GAUGAACGCUGGCGGCGUGCCUAAUACAUGCAAGUCGAGCGAACAGACGAGGAGCUUGCUCCUCUGACGUUAGCGGCGGACGGGUGAGUAACACGUGGAUAACCUACCUAUAAGACUGGGAUAACUUCGGGAAACCGGAGCUAAUACCGGAUAAUAUAUUGAACCGCAUGGUUCAAUAGUGAAAGACGGUUUUGCUGUCACUUAUAGAUGGAUCCGCGCCGCAUUAGCUAGUUGGUAAGGUAACAGCUUACCAAGGCAACGAUGCGUAGCCGACCUGAGAGGGUGAUCGGCCACACUGGAACUGAGACACGGUCCAGACUCCUACGGGAGGCAGCAGUAGGGAAUCUUCCGCAAUGGGCGAAAGCCUGACGGAGCAACGCCGCGUGAGUGAUGAAGGUCUUCGGAUCGUAAAACUCUGUUAUUAGGGAAGAACAAAUGUGUAAGUAACUAUGCCCGUCUUGACGGUACCUAAUCAGAAAGCCACGGCUAACUACGUG
RNAcentral lists this ribosomal RNA (497 nucleotides) under uncultured bacterium. RNAcentral describes it as "partial 16S ribosomal RNA". It matches the Rfam family "Bacterial small subunit ribosomal RNA", at positions 28 to 507 of the family's 1533-position model. The record is from RNAcentral.